CUAGCGACUUCAGAGUUUGAUCCUGGCUCAGGACGAACGCUGGCGGCGUGCCUAACACAUGCAAGUCGAGCGGGGAAAGUUCUUCGGAACUUUCUAGCGGCGGACGGGUGAGUAACGCGUGAGCAAUCUGUCCCAUACAGGGGGAUAACAACUGGAAACAGUUGCUAAUACCGCAUGAGACCACAGAGCCGCAUGGUUCAGGGGUCAAAGGAGCAAUCCGGUAUGGGGUGAGCUCGCGUCCGAUUAGCUAGUUGGUGAGGUAACGGCCCACCAAGGCAACGAUCGGUAGCCGACCUGAGAGGGUGAUCGGCCACAUUGGAACUGAGACACGGUCCAA
RNAcentral lists this ribosomal RNA (337 nucleotides) under uncultured bacterium. RNAcentral's name for it is "bacterial SSU rRNA". It matches the Rfam family "Bacterial small subunit ribosomal RNA", at positions 1 to 334 of the family's 1533-position model. The record is from RNAcentral.